This 1431-nucleotide ribosomal RNA is filed under the name uncultured organism. RNAcentral's name for it is "16S ribosomal RNA". It matches the Rfam family "Bacterial small subunit ribosomal RNA". The record is from RNAcentral.
GCUUAACACAUGCAAGUCGAGGGGCAGCAUUUCAGUUUGCUUGCAAACUGGAGAUGGCGACCGGCGCACGGGUGAGUAACACGUAUCCAACCUGCCGAUAACUCGGGGAUAGCCUUUCGAAAGAAAGAUUAAUACCCGAUGGUAUAAUCAGACCGCAUGGUCUUGUUAUUAAAGAAUUUCGGUUAUCGAUGGGGAUGCGUUCCAUUAGGCAGUUGGUGAGGUAACGGCUCACCAAACCUUCGAUGGAUAGGGGUUCUGAGAGGAAGGUCCCCCACAUUGGAACUGAGACACGGUCCAAACUCCUACGGGAGGCAGCAGUGAGGAAUAUUGGUCAAUGGGCGCAGGCCUGAACCAGCCAAGUAGCGUGAAGGAUGACUGCCCUAUGGGUUGUAAACUUCUUUUAUAUGGGAAUAAAGUUUUCCACGUGUGGAAUUUUGUAUGUACCAUAUGAAUAAGGAUCGGCUAACUCCGUGCCAGCAGCCGCGGUAAUACGGAGGAUCCGAGCGUUAUCCGGAUUUAUUGGGUUUAAAGGGAGCGUAGGUGGACAGUUAAGUCAGUUGUGAAAGUUUGCGGCUCAACCGUAAAAUUGCAGUUGAUACUGGCUGUCUUGAGUACAGUAGAGGUGGGCGGAAUUCGUGGUGUAGCGGUGAAAUGCUUAGAUAUCACGAAGAACUCCGAUUGCGAAGGCAGCUCACUGGACUGCAACUGACACUGAUGCUCGAAAGUGUGGGUAUCAAACAGGAUUAGAUACCCUGGUAGUCCACACAGUAAACGAUGAAUACUCGCUGUUUGCGAUAUACAGUAAGCGGCCAAGCGAAAGCAUUAAGUAUUCCACCUGGGGAGUACGCCGGCAACGGUGAAACUCAAAGGAAUUGACGGGGGCCCGCACAAGCGGAGGAACAUGUGGUUUAAUUCGAUGAUACGCGAGGAACCUUACCCGGGCUUAAAUUGCAUUUGAAUAUAUUGGAAACAGUAUAGCCGUAAGGCAAAUGUGAAGGUGCUGCAUGGUUGUCGUCAGCUCGUGCCGUGAGGUGUCGGCUUAAGUGCCAUAACGAGCGCAACCCUUAUCUUUAGUUACUAACAGGUCAUGCUGAGGACUCUAGAGAGACUGCCGUCGUAAGAUGUGAGGAAGGUGGGGAUGACGUCAAAUCAGCACGGCCCUUACGUCCGGGGCUACACACGUGUUACAAUGGGGGGUACAGAAGGCAGCUACCUGGUGACAGGAUGCUAAUCCCAAAAGCCUCUCUCAGUUCGGAUCGAAGUCUGCAACCCGACUUCGUGAAGCUGGAUUCGCUAGUAGUCGCGCAUCAGCCAUGGCGCGGUGAAUACGUUCCCGGGCCUUGUACACACCGCCCGUCAAGCCAUGAAAGCCGGGGGUACCUGAAGUACGUAACCGCAAGGAGCGUCCUAGGGUAAAACUGGUAAUUGGGG